RNAcentral lists this ribosomal RNA (253 nucleotides) under uncultured bacterium. RNAcentral's name for it is "partial 16S ribosomal RNA". It matches the Rfam family "Bacterial small subunit ribosomal RNA", at positions 524 to 776 of the family's 1533-position model. The record is from RNAcentral.
UACGUAGGGUGCAAGCGUUGUCCGGAAUUAUUGGGCGUAAAGAGCUCGUAGGCGGUUUGUUGCGUCGGCUGUGAAAUCCCGAGGCUCAACCUCGGGUCUGCAGUCGAUACGAGCAAACUAGAGUGUUGCAGGGGAGACUGGAAUUCCUGGUGUAGCGGUGAAAUGCGCAGAUAUCAGGAGGAACACCGGUGGCGAAGGCGGCUUGCUGGGCCAGUUCUGACGCUGAGGAGCGAAAGCGUGGGGAGCGAACAGG